Molecule: long non-coding RNA, 733 nt
Organism: Branchiostoma belcheri (Belcher's lancelet)
Lineage: Eukaryota; Metazoa; Chordata; Leptocardii; Amphioxiformes; Branchiostomatidae
Exons: 2
Source: RefSeq, a predicted model, not a curated record
AGCACAGCUGAUGCACGCGGGAAGUAAAUGAUAUGCUGCCAAACCCCGCUAGAUCAACACUAGCGCGCUGGAAACGGGCCAAAAGUCGGACGCAAAGCUCCCGAGUUCGUGUUGCUUCAUGUUACUUAAAUAUAAAGAAAAUCUCACCAAGUAGAGAGGCAUGAAAAAUGUGAUAUACUAGUAGUGCAAAUGACAAGUAUUUUGUUUCGUAGACUAUUUGUCAUCCUCGAUGAAGCUAUUGUUCGCCUUUUAGAGCUUAUUUUGACUUGUUAAACUGGUUUCGUAGUUUUAGUAUUUUUGCUGUACUCAGGACCUGUUUGUAAUUCUGUACUAGUAGCAUAGACUGUUGUUUUUACGUUGACUUUUGUUGUUUCAUGCUAUAAUGUUGAUACUGAUAGCUUUCUAUUGUUUGUUUAACUCCCCACGCCAUCCAUUUUGCCUGCAACCUUUUGUCAAUUUGUGUACAUUUUUUUUGCAUUGUUUAGUCUUAGCGUGGUUCGAGUAGGGUGGUGCCCGAUUUUCAUCUCUAAAGCUUCAGAAAUUUCCUUCCUUUCCGUCUUUUCUUUCCUUAACCUUGUAGUUUCUCCCUCCUUGCACUAUCAGCUCGCGAUAUGCCAAUAUGUAAAUUAGUUCAAGUAUAGACAAACAUGUCGUCAACCCUUUUACUUUUGACCAUGGAGGUAAAUGUUUUGACAAAUUAAAUGUUAAGCUGGUAUCGUUCUUGAUAUAUUCU